GGCUUUAUAGUCAAAUAUGAUAUUAGAUUGCAAAUCUGAGGGUGUAAAUUUAUACUAAAGCUU
Molecule: transfer RNA, 63 nt
Filed under: Dicranocephalus alticolus
Lineage: Eukaryota; Metazoa; Arthropoda; Insecta; Hemiptera; Stenocephalidae
Description: tRNA-Cys
Rfam family: tRNA
About the family: Transfer RNA (tRNA) molecules are approximately 80 nucleotides in length. Their secondary structure includes four short double-helical elements and three loops (D, anti-codon, and T loops).
Source: RNAcentral